CUGUUGUAUUUGAAUUAUCUUAAUAGUGAUGGUGAUGCAAUCAGACUCAUUGUUCAAAGUUGCUUGCUUUGAGGGUUUUGUUCUGUGGUGUGGGUUGUUUGUAGUAUUACUAUAUAUCGUUGUCCAUGGAACAAUGGAAUAAGAGUAUGACCAUCUUUAUUGCUGAGCACUUACAUAAGGGUUUUCUUCUCUCUCUCUCUCUCUUACACACACACACACACGAAGUGAAACUGGCAUUUUAUAUUGGCCUCACUUUUGAAAUUGAAAAUAAGCCACAUUUAAGAUUUGCAUUUGUGAUAUGCUGACUAGAUACGAGAUCUCUGAUUAACAUAUAUGCAACAUCUGCCUAAGGAACAAUAUACAGGGUAAGAAAUUAUGGAUUCAAACAUAUAAAUAAAAAAAAGUCAGAAGAAAAUAAAGAUUCAAAAGUAAACAUUCUCUCUAAAUUUUGGAUCUAGGAUCUUUCCGCAUGUGCUUGAGGGACUUUCCGUUUAAUCUGUUUUCAAUGUAUCAAUUGCAAACCAGUUAGAACCAAUCUAAGUUUUAUAUGUUUCUUUAAAAUACUAGGUGCUCAUAGAUGCUGAAAAUCUUACAGGAUUUUAUAUUGGUGACCGUGUUUUGCUACCAUUCUCGUGCCAAUGAAAUAUCGGCCUGGGACAUUUUAGUAGCUUUGUGGCGCUAACAGAGAAUGGAUUUAAUAUGGCGCUCUGAAUCAAGUCGCUACAGGUAGGCAGUUGCUGUCUCAAAGGUUCCUCUUUUCCUCAGCUGAAAUUGUUUGGUUGUGAUGGGUUAACAACUCUUGAGGGGCGAAUCUCUGUUGUAGCGUUUCACUGGAAGUAUUGCUGAUGGCGAAGAAGUGUGUACCUUAUUUUGUGCGACUUGCUUAGUAGCAUGCAAGGCAAUCGAUCUUCCGUUUUCAUUGGCUGAGAGUCCUUUUUCUUUUUUGCUUGUUGAGAAUAUUCAUUGUUAACUAGGGGCGAAUAGCUUGGACCUUGCUGUAUUUAUUUGUAUUCUUCACGAACUGCGCGGAAAAAUGGACUUUAUUAUUCUUUAUCCAGUGUUUCACGUUUAUGUGAUUUUUGGAUGUUCGUUAAUUUGAGAUAUCUUGUGAUUAACAAUUUUGUGAGGAAUUC
RNAcentral lists this long non-coding RNA (1133 nucleotides) under Nicotiana tabacum (common tobacco). RNAcentral's name for it is "long non-coding RNA (NTAB_LNC018422)". Lineage: Eukaryota; Viridiplantae; Streptophyta; Magnoliopsida; Solanales; Solanaceae. The record is from RNAcentral.